AUUGAACGCUGGCGGCAGGCCUAACACAUGCAAGUCGAGCGGAUGAAGGGAGCUUGCUCCUGGAUUCAGCGGCGGACGGGUGAGUAAUGCCUAGGAAUCCCUGGUAGUGGGGGAUAACGUCCCGAGACGGGCGCUAAUACCGCAUACGUCCUGAGGGAGAAAGUGGGGGAUCUUCUGACCUCACGCUAUCAGAUGAGCCUAGGUCGGAUUAGCUAGUUGGUGGGGUAAAGGCCUACCAAGGCGACGAUCCGUAACUGGUCUGAGAGGAUGAUCAGUCACACUGGAACUGAGACACGGUCCAGACUCCUACGGGAGGCAGCAGUGGGGAAUAUUGGACAAUGGGCGAAAGCCUGAUCCAGCCAUGCCGCGUGUGUGAAGAAGGUCUUCGGAUUGUAAAGCACUUUAAGUUGGGAGGAAGGGCAGUAAGUUAAUACCUUGCUGUUUUGACGUUACCAACAGAAUAAGCACCGGCUAACUUCGUG
RNAcentral lists this ribosomal RNA (482 nucleotides) under uncultured bacterium. RNAcentral describes it as "partial 16S ribosomal RNA". It matches the Rfam family "Bacterial small subunit ribosomal RNA", at positions 30 to 507 of the family's 1533-position model. The record is from RNAcentral.